Molecule: ribosomal RNA, 301 nt
Filed under: uncultured bacterium
Lineage: Bacteria
Description: partial 16S ribosomal RNA
Rfam family: Bacterial small subunit ribosomal RNA
Source: RNAcentral
CAGUCGCCACGGGAAAACGUAGGGGGCAAGCGUUAUCCGGAAUUACUGGGUGUAAAGGGAGCGUAGACGGUUAAACAAGUCUGAAGUGAAAUGCCGGGGCUCAACCCCGGAGCUGCUUUGGGAACUGUAGAACUGGAGUGUCGGAGGGGUAAGCGGAAUUCCCAGUGUAGCGGUGAAAUGCGUAGAUAUUGGGAGGAACACCGGCGGCGAAGGCGGCUUACUGGACGACAACUGACGUUGAGGCUCGAGGGCGUGGGUAGCAAACAGGAUUAGAUACCCCUGUAGUCCCUGUCUCUUAUAC